UACGUAGGGGGCGAGCGUUGUCCGGAAUUACUGGGCGUAAAGAGAGCGUAGGCGGCACUACAAGUCUCAUGUGAAAUACCCGGGCUUAACUUGGGGGUUGCAUGGGAAACUGUAGAGCUUGAGUACAGGAGAGGCAAGCGGAAUUCCUAGUGUAGCGGUGAAAUGCAUAGAUAUUAGGAGGAACACCAGUGGCGAAGGCGGCUUGCUGGACUGAAACUGACGCUGAGGCGCGAAAGCGUGGGGAGCAAACAGG
Molecule: ribosomal RNA, 253 nt
Filed under: uncultured bacterium
Lineage: Bacteria
Description: partial 16S ribosomal RNA
Rfam family: Bacterial small subunit ribosomal RNA
Source: RNAcentral